GGGGAGAGUAAAGAUUCAUACGGCGACUCGUACGAGCGCGUCGUAACUUCAGUCCCACUUUUCCGCGCGUAUAUAUUCUAUCGCAAUAGUAUUUCAAAGUCCAACAGCCUCUAGAGGACCGAGGGAAAGUACCUAUACUCCACUUUGUGUGCAGGGAUGUAUUCUCAGGGACAUUUCCUUGAAAAGAAUAUUCAGAUCGGGAUGUGAUCGGGAUGUGACGCGGGGUUGCAGUUCGCGGAGCUCGCGGAUAUGAGCGUCUUGUUUUCCUGGUAAUUCCGUUUUUGUAAAUUUCCCCGGCGAAUCUCGUCGAGCGGAGACGCGACGAGGAAAUUUCGUGGAAACGGUGGAAUUGGAGGACCCAGAAUGUCAGAAUGAGGUAAAUCCAGGAGCAAGAAUCGCAGGAUCCACUUUAAAAUUGAAAUAUUAAGUACUCGUACAAGAUGGUUUGACCUCGCGCUGAAGUUAGCUUCACGACGCGGUAACAAUAUCUCUCUUGCGGCAUGAUUAAGUUAUCUGCGGAAGGACGGGUGGAUCGAAUAAGCAUCCUUCAUAUCGCACUUCCGCUGCGACACCCGCGAAGACACGAAGAGCAACGACGCGCGUUCCCGAGCUUAUGAUUUACAGCUUCGUGCCAAUUUGAACCCGUUUGCGUGGCUGUUAACUCGACCAUAGGUCGGAAACAUGAGAUGACCUUAUGUCUCUGCAACGUCGCUGGAUCGAAUUGCCCCCAGCAGCAGAAGCGAACUUUAAUAUACCUGAUAAUCGCGGGGUUAUCAACUGAAGACUACAUUUGCUGUGUGUGUGUGUGUGUGCGCGCGCGCGAAUAUUAUGCGUAAUUGCAUUUCUCAUAUCACUACAUUGCUCGGAGACAGAAACUUUUGAUGAAAUGAAUAUAAUCUGCCGUACAUUCAGUGGUAACGAAGUAGUAAAAGUCAAUUUGCGUUAGACAUUAACAGUUUGCUCGCUGUCACGAGCAAUUUUAUUUGAAUAUUCCCGAUGUACACAGUACGCACGGUUUCUUGUUAUACAUUAAAUUGCAAAUAUUAUUAUUUUAUAAGUUUUAUUGUCAUCUGUGAUUAACAAUAUAUUCCCCUAUUAUCAAAUAUACGUUAUUUAAAUCGGAUAGAGUGUUAAAUAUGCACAGUUCUCAAUAUCCGUGUUGAUCGUAACAACUUUUCCAUUAUUGAUUUAAAUAAAUCGGAAAUAUUGAAAUAAAUUAGUUCGUUCCAUAAGUUGGUCUCAUGCGUGCGUAAAUUAUUUUUAACGUCAUGGAAUAUCCUCUAACACUCUGUAUCCUUGAACAAGGCACGCGAAAGGAUCUAAAUAUAUUCGCUGCAGGAUCUAACGGGUGCAUAUAAUCGUUACACGAAAUGAGGUAGAGGCCCCAUGGAAUCGUUUCCGCGAAAGUUACCCCUCAGUGGUUAAUAGAGUAUGUGUGGCAAAGUGCAUACGAAAGAGGGAGGACCGGAAGGGAGGUAUAAUAAAAUUAUCAAUAUGUGGAAGCCUCUUAUUCCAAGUACGUGCGCGAGAGCAGCGAGAGAGCAGGGUAACAAGAAAUUCAUUUCGUCACGGAUCUAGUUAUCCAAAACAUCCAACGAAAUUCAAGAGAUUGUCAAGAGACGGCUCCGUAAAAUUUAUCGCGUUUCCAUCGCGCCCCAUCGCGAAAUCUUACGAUCUCUGGCUGAAUCUAUUUUCGAGUAAUGCUCACAAAUUUUGCAACCUUUCCCCGUUGUUGCUAUUACCGAUAAUAUUAUUUCCUCUCGAGCUAAGAGCAGUCAUUUUGUAGUUAUCCCGAUAAAAUUGGGUCUUCAUAACGGCGGUCCUCGACCUAUUCCAACAGCCACAAGGUCGAUUUGCGGGUCUGAAAGAAGAAAUGGAAGUGAGGUUGUAAGAUGAGUAAGGAAAGAGAGUGAGAUAGAGAGGAGAAGGAUGGAGGGAAAAGGAGGCAGCGUGACGAUGUCGAAUUGAUCGCGAAUAAAGGAGGGGCUUCGCCUCGUUUGAAGCUUUUGAAGCUUUUAGCUUCGUCGAGGCUCAGUCGCGAUAUUUUUUGAGAGAGCUUCGCCGGCUGACAUUUAUAUGGUGUGGAUUUAAUAAAUGAUUGAGUUGAAACGGA
Long non-coding RNA from Dinoponera quadriceps, 2113 nucleotides. RefSeq lists it as uncharacterized. The transcript is spliced from 2 exons. NCBI's taxonomy places the organism in Eukaryota, Metazoa, Arthropoda, Insecta, Hymenoptera, Formicidae. The record is from RefSeq and is a predicted model, not a curated record.